This 191-nucleotide transfer-messenger RNA is filed under the name Brevundimonas sp. RNAcentral's name for it is "Alphaproteobacteria transfer-messenger RNA". It matches the Rfam family "Alphaproteobacteria transfer-messenger RNA", at positions 1 to 188 of the family's 355-position model. Rfam says of the family: Bacterial tmRNA, also known as 10Sa RNA or SsrA, is named for its dual tRNA and mRNA-like properties. Its role is to liberate the mRNA from a stalled ribosome. The record is from Rfam by way of RNAcentral. Lineage: Bacteria; Pseudomonadati; Pseudomonadota; Alphaproteobacteria; Caulobacterales; Caulobacteraceae.
CCUCUUGGAAGCGGCUGUCCGCUGGCCUAUAUUCGGCAGGUCCGGGUUCGCCCGGACUAUGGCGAUAAACGCGCCUGUAAUAAGCGGACCGGACCCGGGUGCGAUUCCCGGCGGCUCCACCAUUUCCUCCCGUGUAUCGGCGGGCGGUGCGGGGCCGACUAGCAUCGACGGACGUGUAAAGAGGAUUGCUU